UGGUGGAGUGAUUUGUCUGGUUAAUUCCGUUAACGAACGAGACCUCAGCCUACUAAAUAGUCGCUCGAACACUCGUGUUCGCAGUUCGACUUCUUAGAGGGACUGUCUGUUUCUAACAGAAGGAAGUUUGAGGCAAUAACA
RNAcentral lists this ribosomal RNA (141 nucleotides) under uncultured eukaryote. RNAcentral describes it as "partial 18S ribosomal RNA". It matches the Rfam family "Eukaryotic small subunit ribosomal RNA", at positions 1299 to 1458 of the family's 1831-position model. The record is from RNAcentral.